This 89-nucleotide small RNA is filed under the name Chryseobacterium sp. YR221. RNAcentral's name for it is "Flavo-1 RNA". It matches the Rfam family "Flavo-1 RNA". The record is from RNAcentral. Lineage: Bacteria; Pseudomonadati; Bacteroidota; Flavobacteriia; Flavobacteriales; Weeksellaceae.
UCAUAGCCCUGAUUGCAGCGACAUCCUUUUUCCGGAAUGGCUUUAAAAAGUGGCUGUAGAAAAAGAUACAGCGGAAAGCAGGAAUAGCU